ACGUUACCCGCAGAAGAAGCACCGGCUAACUCCGUGCCAGCAGCCGCGGUAAUACGGAGGGUGCAAGCGUUAAUCGGAAUUACUGGGCGUAAAGCGCACGCAGGCGGUCUGUCAAGUCGGAUGUGAAAUCCCCGGGCUCAACCUGGGAACUGCAUUCGAAACUGGCAGGCUUGAGUCUUGUAGAGGGGGGUAGAAUUCCAGGUGUAGCGGUGAAAUGCGUAGAGAUCUGGAGGAAUACCGGUGGCGAAGGCGGCCCCCUGGACAAAGACUGACGCUCAGGUGCGAAAGCAUGGGGAGCAAACAGGAUUAGAUACCCUGGUAGUCCACGCCGUAAACGAUGUCUACUUGGAGGUUGUGCCCUUGAGGCGUGGCUUCCGGAGCUAAC
RNAcentral lists this ribosomal RNA (385 nucleotides) under Salmonella enterica subsp. enterica serovar Virchow. Its description in RNAcentral is "bacterial SSU rRNA". It matches the Rfam family "Bacterial small subunit ribosomal RNA", at positions 472 to 856 of the family's 1533-position model. Lineage: Bacteria; Pseudomonadati; Pseudomonadota; Gammaproteobacteria; Enterobacterales; Enterobacteriaceae. The record is from RNAcentral.